RNAcentral lists this transfer RNA (291 nucleotides) under uncultured bacterium. RNAcentral describes it as "16S-23S ribosomal RNA intergenic spacer". The stretch from base 68 to 140 matches the Rfam family "tRNA". The record is from RNAcentral.
CUAAGGAAUAAUACGGAAACUGCACAUAUCGAAACAUUAUUCAGUUUUGAGAGAUCUAUCUCAAAAUGGGGCCUUAGCUCAGUUGGGAGAGCGCCUGCUUUGCACGCAGGAGGUCAGGAGUUCGACUCUCCUAGGCUCCAUUGAUGACCGAAGGUCGUCAAAACUUGUUCUUUGAAAACUAGAUAAUAAUUUAUUUCUUUAUAAAACCGAGAACACCGCGUUUUAAAGAGUUUAAAACAAGAAAAAGUUCUAAUCGCUAAACUCAUAGACCACUAUCAGAAAGAUAGUUGA